Molecule: ribosomal RNA, 253 nt
Filed under: uncultured bacterium
Lineage: Bacteria
Description: partial 16S ribosomal RNA
Rfam family: Bacterial small subunit ribosomal RNA
Source: RNAcentral
UACAGAGGGUGCAAGCGUUAAUCGGAAUUACUGGGCGUAAAGCGUGCGUAGACGGUUAUUUAAGUCAGGUGUGAAAGCCCCGGGCUCAACCUGGGAAUUGCAUUUGAGACUGAAUAGCUAGGGUGCGGAAGAGGGAAGCGGAAUUUCCGGUGUAGCGGUGAAAUGCGUAGAUAUCGGAAGGAACACCAAUUGCGAAGGCAGCUCGCUGGGACGUUACUGACGCUGAGACGCGAAAGCGUGGGGAGCAAACAGG